Molecule: long non-coding RNA, 1195 nt
Filed under: Meleagris gallopavo (turkey)
Lineage: Eukaryota; Metazoa; Chordata; Aves; Galliformes; Phasianidae
Description: lncRNA (ENSMGAG00000017967.1)
Source: RNAcentral
UGUUUCGUAAUAUACACAUCUCCUGUAAGAAAAACGUGUUUUUUGAUUACUUGUUAUGAAUUGAAGCUUUGAUUCAGAAGUCACAAUGUCACAUCAUGUGGACCAUGCAAUUCAAACUGAAACAACAUAGGGCCCUCCCUGUAUCUGUGAAUGCAUGGAAAAUUCCUGCUCUACGAAUGAAACAAAUCAGCCUUAUUCUUCCCCACCCUAAAGCGCAGACGUGCGCAAGGAUUUCGGACUAGCGAAGUGUUCCGCUAACGAAGAUUCUAACAAAGAUGUCACCACUAGGGGUCUCCUUGACUUCAGAGUUCAGACUCGAGCCUGGAGAGCAGCCCAAAUUCGACGGCCGCGUGAUUCAGCCCAAACUGAACUCUUUCAGUGCCCGGAGAUGGCGUCAGUGAGCCCAACUAACCUUAUUUCUUAGCAAGCCACUAGUUUUUUCGGGUUGUUUUUUUUUUUUCCUUAUAAUUCUAGUAAACACAGGAAAUAAGCACAGCAAGCCUAGGCACAGCAAGGCUGCAAGUCUACCUAUUUAUGUUAAUAUUUCUUGGGAUAUUUAUUUCAUCACAAGAACAAAACGAAUAAAACCAGGCCUUUAAAUAAUGUUUAUCCGUUGGAUAAGCAUUGCUGCAACACUUAAGUAAAAUGCUGGAGUAAGACUCGUUUUGAAAUGUGACCUAGACACAUGCAAUUAAAAAAUAUAUCAAAGCAUCUGAUUAUGAUAGCUAUCACUAGAACAGCCAUCUUAUGGCUUUUAACAGGUACUCAAGUUUAUGGGUAAUCACAGAAUCAUGGAGUAUCACAAGUGGGAAGGGAUCCUUAAGGAUUAUCCAGUGCAUUUUAGCUGAUGGGAGUGCAGUCUGAAAAGUCAGCAGAAAGCACUCGUCAGUGAUACAAAGUACUUUGAGCAACGUAACACAACACAAAUGGAUGUUUCUCAAAGAAGCUUGGUAUCUAGUUCCUUAAAACAAAAUCUUGGUAUUGCACGAUAAAUAGGUAAAGUCAAAAAUAAGAUGUAGAAUGGAAUUCAAUCCUAAUUUUUCCUGUAACUUAAUGAUGGCCAUGUAAGAAUGAAUAAAAAUUAUACUUUUGUUGUUGGUUUUGUGGGUGGUUUUUUUUUUUUUUGCUUUACCGAGAUAAACAGUAGAUUCUUGUACCACUGAACUGGGACUCGCUUCAAGUGGGUACUUGAAAU